UAAAUAUCUUUUUUUUUUGCUGAAUUAGUGCGCGCAUGUAGUAGUAUCUUUCUAUUUCCCUCUUUCAAUUUCCCUCCCUUAGAGAAUUAGGAGCGAGCGACCUAACUCGAAUUCUCCACCACUGCUGCGCCACCACUGCUGCGCCCACCACCUUUUGCUCCACCACCACGACCACAUUGCCCACCUCAUCUGCCCACCCACGUUUUGCGCGACCUAACUAGAAUUCUCCACCAACACGUGCUCCACCACCACUGCUGCCCACCACCACUGGGUUUGCGCGACCUUGCGCACCACAUUGCUCCACGACUGUUGCCCACCACCUUGCGCCACCCACCACGUGCAACCCUUCUCUUCUCUUCUCUUCUCUUUUCCACCAUUUGAGUGGUUAAUUAGGAAGAAGAGGCUUAGGAAGGCAGAUUAAAGGUCCAACUAUCUCUUCUCUCUUCAUUGCUCGUCGUUGGUGAUAAGAGAGGUAGUCUUCUUGAAUGAGAUGGAUCGUACUUGAAUCUAUGGUAGUCGUGAAUCGAUUGAGUUUGUGAAUGGGGUCUCGAAAUUCUGUAGAAGUGCAUUAGAAUAUCAAACAUCCUCUGGAGCAGUCGACUAGAAUGGGUCUUCUUGAGUUGGUUAUGUCCAAGCUUAGUACGAGAUCACAGUUACGUACAAAACCAAAAGGAGGUGAAAGCAUAUCUCAAGGAUUCUUUGCAAGCAUGUUCUCGUCUUGGAUAUAAGAUCAUUCUUUUUCCUUACAUUGAAUCGUAUGCUUCUUAAACUCACUUUUUUACUUUAAUUAA
Molecule: long non-coding RNA, 791 nt
Organism: Beta vulgaris subsp. vulgaris (sugar beet)
Lineage: Eukaryota; Viridiplantae; Streptophyta; Magnoliopsida; Caryophyllales; Amaranthaceae
Exons: 3
Source: RefSeq, a predicted model, not a curated record